RNAcentral lists this transfer RNA (69 nucleotides) under Urocitellus parryii (Arctic ground squirrel). RNAcentral describes it as "Spermophilus parryii (Arctic ground squirrel) tRNA". It matches the Rfam family "tRNA". From Rfam's summary of the family: Transfer RNA (tRNA) molecules are approximately 80 nucleotides in length. Their secondary structure includes four short double-helical elements and three loops (D, anti-codon, and T loops). Further hydrogen bonds mediate the characteristic L-shaped molecular structure. tRNAs have two regions of fundamental functional importance: the anti-codon, which is responsible for specific mRNA codon recognition, and the 3' end, to which the tRNAs corresponding amino acid is attached (by aminoacyl-tRNA synthetases). tRNAs cope with the degeneracy of the genetic code in two manners: having more than one tRNA (with a specific anti-codon) for a particular amino acid; and 'wobble' base-pairing, i.e. permitting non-standard base-pairing at the 3rd anti-codon position. Lineage: Eukaryota; Metazoa; Chordata; Mammalia; Rodentia; Sciuridae. RNAcentral also lists the same sequence under 2 other names. The record is from Rfam by way of RNAcentral.
GGGGUUGUGGCUUAGUGGUAGAGCACUUGCCUAGCACGUGUGAGGCACUGGGUUCAAUCCUCAGCACCA